RNAcentral lists this long non-coding RNA (1528 nucleotides) under Sarcophilus harrisii (Tasmanian devil). Its description in RNAcentral is "lncRNA (ENSSHAG00000025339.1)". The record is from RNAcentral. Lineage: Eukaryota; Metazoa; Chordata; Mammalia; Dasyuromorphia; Dasyuridae.
GUUCAUAUCCUUUGACCAUUUUUCAAUUGGAGAAUGGCUUGAUUUUUUAUAAAUUAGAGUUAAUUCUCUAUAUAUUUUGGAAAUGAGACCUUUAUCAGAACCUUUGACUGUAAAAAUAUUUUCCCAGUUUAUUGCUUCCCUUCUAAUCUUGUCUGCAUUAGUUUUGUUUGUAAAAAAACUUUUCAGUUUGGUAGAGUCGAAAUUUUCUAUUUUGUGUUUAUUAAUGAUCUCUAGUUCUUCUUUGGUCAUAAAUUCCUUUCCCUUCCACAGGUCUGAGAGGUAAACUAUCCUGUGUUCCUCUAAUUUAUUAAUAAUUUCAUUCUUUAUGCCUAGGUCAUGAACCCAUUUUGACUUUAUCUUGGUGUACGGUGUUAAGUGUGGAUCAAUGCCUAGUUUCUGCCAUAUUAGUUUCCAAUUUUCCCAGCAAUUUUUGUCAAACAGGUUUGCUUGUAUCUCUACAGGUGGAAAAGGAUUCAGAUGGGUGCCAACGAGCUGUAUUCGCCUUGUCUAUCGCAGAGAGAUGGAGCAGACCCUUGAAACAAAGGAAAAGACCCAAGAAAUAUCGGAUGGUUCUGUUGCCGAUUGUGCUCACUAUUGAAAGAGCAUGGCAGUUAUGGCGUUUGACUCAUGGACAUUGAAAAUUGUUGGAUUUCAAAACCCUCAGGAAUCAUUGGAUUCUCUGAGACAUGGUAAGACUGUUGCAGGACUUGAAAACCCUCAGGAAUCAUUGGAUUCUCUGAGACAUAAGAUUGUUGUAGGACUUGAAAGCCCUCAGGAAUCAUUGGAUUUUCUGAGAAAUGAUAAGACUGUUACAGGACUUCAAAAUCUGCAGGAAUCAUUGGAUUCCCUAACACAUAAAAGGACUUUACAGGACUUCAAAAACUUGUGGGGAACAUUGGAUUCCCCUGACAUGUGAAGCAAUGGACAGUAGACUGGUUUUGGACUAUCUCUUGGCUGCUGAAGAAGGUGUAUGUGUGACUGUUGUUUACAUACCCUCCUUCUAGGACUUCUGGCAAUCUUUUACAACACCCAUGUUGAUUUAUUUUGUUUGUUCUACCUCUACUUGUGUGUACAAUUCAUGUUUGUUACAUCACAUAGAGCCUGCACUGACUGUGGGGAGAGUCAUCACUAAUAGCCUCUGCAUUAUUGCUAUGUGCUUGUGUAAUACCUCCCAUGCUGAUGGGUUUGUGCAUAAUAAGACCCUCCAGCCCAGAAACCCGCUAGCAACCCCCACUUCCCUUUAGUGCUUUUCAUCUCCCUUCCUGAGAUGUCAGGGAGGGUGUGAUCAUCUCCCCUUGGGGGCUCUGACCUCCCUGAGAAGUCAGGGAUGGCAUGACCACCUGUGUUCUAAAACAAAAGAAAGCAGGAGAUGUAAUGGGCUGAAGCUCGAGUUGAUGCACUGAGGUCCCAAGCAUGUGAGGCCAAAUAGUAAUUGGACCAUACUCUAUUAAUAUAUAUAUACUUGGAGAAAGAAUGGCCCCUGCCCACUCUUUGUGCAAGUCCUGAUAUGUUUUAUAGGAAAUGACAU